AUAGUAUCUGUGGAUUAAAGGUGGCUUUUGGGCUGUCGCAGAUGGAUGAGCCUGCGUUGGAUUAGCUAGUUGGUGGGGUAAGGGCCUACCAAGGCUACGAUCCAUAGCUGAUUUGAGAGGAUGAUCAGCCACAUUGGGACUGAGACACGGCCCAAACUCCUACGGGAGGCAGCAGUGAGGAAUAUUGGACAAUGGGGGCAACCCUGAUCCAGCAAUGCCAUGUGUGUGAAGAAGGCCUUAGGGUUGUAAAGCACUUUAGUUGGGGAAGAAAGCUUUGAGGUUAAUAGCCUUGAGGAAAAGGACGUUACCCAAAGAAUAAGCACCGGCUAACUCCGUGCCAGCAGCCGCGGUAAUACGGGGGGUGCAAGCGUUAAUCGGAAUUACUGGGCGUAAAGGGUCUGUAGGUGGUUUGUUAAGUCAGAUGUGAAAGCCUAGGGCUCAACCUUGGAACUGCAUUUGAUACUGGUAAACUAGAGUACGGUAGAGGAAUGGGGAAUUUCUGGUGUAGCGGUGAAAUGCGUAGAGAUCAGAAGGAACACCAAUGGCGAAGGCAACAUUCUGGACCGAUACUGACACUGAGGGACGAAAGCGUGGGGAUCAAACAGGAUUAGAUACCCUGGUAGUCCACGCUGUAAACGAUGAGUACUAGCUGUUGGAGUCGGUGUAAAGGCUCUAGUGGCGCAGCUAACGCGAUAAGUACUCCGCCUGGGGACUACGGCCGCAAGGCUAAAACUCAAAGGAAUUGACGGGGACCCGCACAAGCGGUGGAGCAUGUAGUUUAAUUCGAUGCAACGCGAAGAACCUUACCUGGUCUUGACAUCCUGCAAUCUUUCUAGAGAUAGAUUGGUGCCUUCGGGAACGCAGUGACAGGUGCUGCACGGCUGUCGUCAGCUCGUGUUGUGAAAUGUUGGGUUAGGUCCC
RNAcentral lists this ribosomal RNA (921 nucleotides) under Francisella endosymbiont of Dermacentor andersoni. RNAcentral's name for it is "bacterial SSU rRNA". It matches the Rfam family "Bacterial small subunit ribosomal RNA", at positions 173 to 1088 of the family's 1533-position model. Lineage: Bacteria; Pseudomonadati; Pseudomonadota; Gammaproteobacteria; Thiotrichales; Francisellaceae. The record is from RNAcentral.